GUAGGUGAACCUGCGGAAGGAUCAUUAAUGAUUGACCGAAAGGUCUUAUCUUAUCAUCCCUCACCUCUGUGAACCGUCUGACCUCUGGGUCUAACAAAACAUACAAACAUCAGUGUAACGAACGUCUUGUUAUCAUAACAAAAAUAAAACUUUUAACAACGGAUCUCUUGGCUCUC
RNAcentral lists this unclassified non-coding RNA (176 nucleotides) under rhizosphere metagenome. Its description in RNAcentral is "partial ribosomal RNA internal transcribed spacer region". The record is from RNAcentral.